UGGGGAAUAUUGGACAAUGGGCGAAAGCCUGAUCCAGCCAUGCCGCGUGGGUGAAGAAGGUCUUCGGAUUGUAAAGCACUUUAAGUGGGGAGGAAGGGCAGUAAGCGAAGACCUUGCUGUUUUUGACGUUAGCGACAGAAUAAGCACGGGCUAACUGUGUGACAGCAGGCGAGGUAAUAGAGAGGGUGAGAGCGUUAAUGGGAUUUACUGGGCGUAAAGCGGGCGGAGGUGGUUCGUUAAGUGGAAUGUGAAAGCCCCGGGCUCAACCUUGGAAAUGCAUCCAAAAAUGGCGAGCUAGAGUAAGGCAGAGGGUGGUGGAAUUUCCUGUGUAGCGGUGAAAUGCGGAGAUAUAGGAAGGAACACCAGUGGCGAAGGCGACCACCUGGGCUCAUACUGACACUGAGGUGCGAAAGCGUGGGGAGCAAACAGG
RNAcentral lists this ribosomal RNA (430 nucleotides) under Pseudomonadota bacterium. Its description in RNAcentral is "Proteobacteria bacterium partial 16S ribosomal RNA". It matches the Rfam family "Bacterial small subunit ribosomal RNA", at positions 355 to 776 of the family's 1533-position model. Lineage: Bacteria; Pseudomonadati; Pseudomonadota. The record is from RNAcentral.